CCCUUUGCUCCCUACCUUUUCAACCACCACCUCCACCAUCUUCGAUUCUUUAAGGCUACUAGCCAACACUCCUUGCCUUCAUUCUAUGUUCCUUCAGCCACCAAAGUGAGGAGAAUUCAUUAAGCUGCUGCCAACAUUCAAGGUAAGACUUAAACUUCAAUUUUUCCACCUCUCCCUGUUUCCUCCUGCAUUCAUUGAGGAAAACCAACAAUCUUUAUAUUUCAGUGUAUCUAUCCACUGAUUCAAUCAACAACAACAGCCAUCAACAACAAACAAUCAAGGUCAAGCGCGAGAGUAAGAACUACACAAGGAGUUAGAGUACCUUAGCAAAACUUUGCUAUCAGGUUGAGCUGUGAUGGGCGAUGAAGUAUUGCUGAGUGGAGUUUUUGUCGAACUUAAAGUAGGCUCAGAAAGGAUACAUGUCUUCAUACAUGUAUCUCAGUUAUGCAUUUCGCUGUAAACACUGAUUAUUUCAGUUACGCCUUCCGUUGCAAACUCUGAUAAUGUUUUAGCCAA
Long non-coding RNA from Salvia miltiorrhiza (redroot sage), 516 nucleotides. RefSeq lists it as uncharacterized. Lineage: Eukaryota; Viridiplantae; Streptophyta; Magnoliopsida; Lamiales; Lamiaceae. The transcript is spliced from 3 exons. The record is from RefSeq and is a predicted model, not a curated record.